CUUAGACCUUUUGAGGACCAGGGAUGGAACUUGGGACCCCGGCCAAUGGCCUGGAGAAUGGAUACCCCAGCGACUGGUGACCUGGUGACCAGGAGGCCCAGCUCAGGAGUCACAGCUCGUUCUGGCCAGAGGGAAGACAAGGGGCUGUGAGGGGAGGACCCGGGUGACCUGACCAGGCAGUUCCAGCCAGAGGGGGCCAGAGGACGGCUGAGAGGAGAGGAGGCCCAGGAGACCCUGUUUAUCAGGAGAGAAGACAAUGGACAGAGGUGGGGCUUGGGGGUGGUGAUAUCGAUGCCCAGCUGGGAAGCAAGGGGCCUCGGGACUGGAGAGAGAGAACAGGCAGAGCCCACCUGGAGGCAGGCGAGACUUGGAUGUGCUGUGCUGGGGGAGGGCAGGCCCGAGGGCCCUGAGAGUUUCCUAUGCUGUGUUCAGACGCUCAAUAAACCCUCCUUUUUUAUGCCGGCUCAGAGUUGCUCCGGUCUAGAGAACAAGGUUGCAUUAUUCCCUCUGGGAGUGGAGGCCCCGGGGUCCAGAGCCAGUGGACUCCCAGAGAGACAGAUGUGCUAAGGCUCAGAGAGGUGCGGUUCCAGGAGAAGGAGGGGCUUAACCCCCGAGAGAGACUGGACCCCCGAGAAGGGCUGUUGCACUGAAGGGGGUUUCCCCCAGGGACUGCACAGGACCAAGAGUGGGCAUGACCUGUGAGUCCGUGACAGUAACUGUUAAUAAAUAGAGGUUAAGGAUAUUUCUGAGUAAGGCUCUUUCACUGGGAAAAG
This is a long non-coding RNA of Dermochelys coriacea (leatherback sea turtle), 773 nucleotides long. RefSeq lists it as uncharacterized. Lineage: Eukaryota; Metazoa; Chordata; Testudines; Dermochelyidae. The transcript has 3 exons. The record is from RefSeq and is a predicted model, not a curated record.